Long non-coding RNA from Acanthopagrus latus (yellowfin seabream), 2146 nucleotides. RefSeq lists it as uncharacterized. The transcript has 2 exons. NCBI's taxonomy places the organism in Eukaryota, Metazoa, Chordata, Actinopteri, Spariformes, Sparidae. The record is from RefSeq and is a predicted model, not a curated record.
AGACUUCCUAGUGACUGUUCACCAGCAAGACCAGCAUAUUGUGUUUUGGUGCUGGUCUAUGCUGGUUUUUCUAGCAGAGAUAGCCUAGCUAGCCAUGUUACCCGCUUACCUAAAGCCUUGUUUUUCUAGCAUUCCUGAACCGCCAACAUGUCUGCGUACGCUGACCUGGAGCUUGCACAGCGGUGGACAUUUGUCGGGUCCUCAUCCAUUUCCGAGGCUCUCCAUUAUGGCUCCGGAUGACAGAUGUAGAUACGGCGGUGCUCUCCCUCAGGCUGUAAAGCACCAGGCCUAACCUUCCCUCCACCAGAAGUAAUGGUCCACACCUUUAAUUGUCGUGGGCUGUUCAUCUUCACUAACAAUAGCAGUAAGCAAUGGGUCUGGGAGAGAAAGGCAGUCGUGUCUGACAAAGGAAGUGAUUUAGCUCUGGAGGCAAUUGGUAAGCGGGGCGUUGCAGGGGCAGCAGUAAUGUGCAGAGAGAGAGAUCAUAUGGGGUAAGAGGCGUAACAGACACAAUAGUGGGACACACAGGCGACGCUGUGUGUUUUUUUCCCCCUCGCUGCAAAGAUUUAUCUCGAAAAAAGAGGCAGUAAAAUGUAUAUUGUGCGCGUCCUUCAUGGAGUGAGAGCUUGUGUUAUUGAAGUGGACGUGAUGUUCUCUGAAUUAUGGAUGUCGGCGAAUGCUUAAGGAAGUAAGUUGGACAAGAGCAGCAACUUUUCCCAUCGCGGCUGUAUCAGUCAGAAAACAAACAGCAGAUCGCAUUUAAAGAAAUGGGCUGUUUGUGGAAGGUGAUUUGUUUUUUGUUUUUUUUUAGGUUUUUGAUGCUUCCUCAUUAUUUCAUUUGAUGUCAAAACAUCAUUUGAUGCUCAACUUUCAAAAGUCUGCUCUCGCUUCUGUAUUUCUUUAUUCCGCUACAGCCUUCUAAAGAGGCAAAACUGCUGCGGAGAAGAAAAAGAAAAAGAAAAAAAAACUCCUGCUAUUGAUGGGUCACUAGUUUACUGUCUGAAUUAGACACAUAACAUAAGGAACAGACAAGUGUAGUUACCAAAUUAAAGUGUGUUUCCUGGGAAAGUUGAGGCCCAUUAAAAUGAUAGAUUGCAUGGUGUGUGCAAAGGGAUGCUUUACACCCACCAAACAGUCUAAUUGCAUUCAGUCCUGUAAGAAGUCCACAAAUGUUGAAUCUAGAAUCUCGGGCGUAUUGGCAGCAAGCUGCUAGACAGCAGAUGACUAGCUUCAAACGAGUAGCGAGGGGGGAGGGAUGUUAAAUCUUGACAAACAGUGAGAGCCAGUGUCCACAUCAUCUCUCGCCCCUGACAGGCUUCCCCAUGCAUGAAUUCAAAGCUGGUGAAAGAAAAAAAAAGAAAAAACAUGGCUGGAUUCAUUUUGAUCUGACAUCCAUCAUGUAGAUCAGUGUUGUGGUUUCACUGUACUGUGUCCACGAUAAGAUGUUUUGGCAAUCGGCCCAUGACAUCUGUUAAAGCCAGUCGAGUGAAACUGGGACCAAUUUGGCAUUUCUGUCACAAGUUGUUAUUGUUGGCUUCCCGCUUUGAACGCUAUCCAUUCACCGUCCCAUCAACGUAACAGAUCUGUAUGUUUAAAAAGAAGGCAUACUGUAUAUGAAGCUUAUCGCGUUCGUGAUCUUUUUUUUUUUUUUAAGGUUGAAAUUUGCCUUCCUGUUGCAUCAGAUUCUCUGAUCCUGUAACGUGUUUGGAUUUUCAUUUUCUAUUUUUUUUUUCCUCCCCCUCUGCUGUUUCUACACCCAGGAGACGGUUUGCAAAUUGGAAAGAAUUGGGAGGGACUGCAGUUUGCGUUCUCUUUUCAUUUGUCAGUAGAACCAGGGAAAAAAAAAAAAAAAAAGCCUCACAGCCAGUUGCCGGGGGGUAAAUGGGUUUUGUGUACUAGUUUAAAACCAUUAAGAAACAAACUACACGAUUGGCUGCAAUAUUAAUGAUGAUGUUGAGAUGCGGACCAGACGCAUGUCUAAGAGUCGGGAAGGACCCUUUGAUGGUUAAAAAACAAAACAGUCUCUUGUGCGCUCGUCCAAUCAAACGCCGGUCUGCAUUCUCUCGGCACUGACGGUGAUGUUUAACCGCGCAGGGAUUGAGUUCGUAAGCGGUGUCCGAAACCCGCGUUUGGAGCACCAGCUUAU